RNAcentral lists this ribosomal RNA (59 nucleotides) under Bifidobacterium dentium. Its description in RNAcentral is "partial 23S ribosomal RNA". The record is from RNAcentral. Lineage: Bacteria; Bacillati; Actinomycetota; Actinomycetes; Bifidobacteriales; Bifidobacteriaceae.
CCGGAGGUGGAAGCCCCGCGAGGGGUGGAGCCGACCGGUACUAACGGGCGACGGCGACA